CUUCCCUCAGCCAGUCUCGCUCACGAGAGCCCAGGCAGCACCUCUGAUUCAAGCAGUUCUUGCUCGUACUUCGCUUCAUAUUUCUCUCAGUACACCUGUAGCCGGUGAUCAGUGCCUGCACUCAGUGAUCUGUCAGUG
Nanorana parkeri is the source of this 138-nucleotide long non-coding RNA. RefSeq lists it as uncharacterized. Lineage: Eukaryota; Metazoa; Chordata; Amphibia; Anura; Dicroglossidae. The record is from RefSeq and is a predicted model, not a curated record. The transcript has 3 exons.